UACGUAGGGUGCAAGCGUUGUCCGGAAUUAUUGGGCGUAAAGAGCUCGUAGGCGGUUUGUCGCGUCGAAUGUGAAAACCCGGGGCUCAACCCCGGGCCUGCAUUCGAUACGGGCAGACUAGAGUUCGGUAGGGGAGUCUGGAAUUCCUGGUGUGGCGGUGAAAUGCGCAGAUAUCAGGAGGAACACCGGUGGCGAAGGCGGGACUCUGGGCCGAUACUGACGCUGAGGAGCGAAAGCGUGGGGAGCAAACAGG
This 253-nucleotide ribosomal RNA is filed under the name uncultured bacterium. RNAcentral's name for it is "partial 16S ribosomal RNA". It matches the Rfam family "Bacterial small subunit ribosomal RNA", at positions 524 to 776 of the family's 1533-position model. The record is from RNAcentral.